UACGAAGGUGGCAAGCGUUACUCGGAAUUACUAGGCGUAAAGGGCAGGUAGGUGGUUUUGUAAGUCUAUUGUGAAAGCUCCCGGCUUAACUGGGAGAGGUCAAUGGAUACUGCAGAACUUGAGUAUAGGAGAGGUUACUGGAAUUCCCGGUGUAGCGGUGAAAUGCGCAGAGAUCGGGAGGAACACCAAUGGCGAAAGCAGGUAACUGGACUAUUACUGACACUCAGCUGCGAAAGCUAGGGGAGCAAACAGG
Molecule: ribosomal RNA, 253 nt
Filed under: uncultured bacterium
Lineage: Bacteria
Description: partial 16S ribosomal RNA
Rfam family: Bacterial small subunit ribosomal RNA
Source: RNAcentral